RNAcentral lists this ribosomal RNA (266 nucleotides) under uncultured archaeon. RNAcentral describes it as "partial 16S ribosomal RNA". It matches the Rfam family "Archaeal small subunit ribosomal RNA", at positions 716 to 982 of the family's 1478-position model. The record is from RNAcentral.
AGUCACUGACAUUAGAUACCCGCGUAGUCCAGGGUGUAAACGCUGCAGACUUGGUGUUGGGAACCCUUCGGGGGUGCUCAGUGCCGGAGAGAAGUUGUUAAGUCUGCUACUUGGGGAGUACGUCCGCAAGGAUGAAAACUUAAAGGAAUUGGCGGGGGAGCACCGCAACGGGAGGAGCGUGCGGUUUAAUUGGAUUCAACGCCGAAAAACUCACCAGCAGCGACUGUUACAUGAAAGUCAGGUUGAUGACCUUACUAGAUUUUCAG